UCAAAUGAUAGUAUUUUGAAUAUGUUAAAUACAUAUCAUUAGACUAUUGGUAUUUCAUUAUUUAACAUUUAAAAUGCAUGUGUAUUUAUGUGUGUAUAUGUGCAUGCAGGUGUGCAGGUGAAUUUGCACAUGGGUGUGCAUGUGUACAUUGUGAAGAGUCCAGAGGACAGCCUCAGGUUUCAUCCUCGGGAGCGUUCUCCACCUCCUUCGAGACAGACUUUCCCAUUAGCCUGGAUCUCAUUGUUAAGCCAGCCUGUCUACCUAGCAAGGCCGAGGUGUCCUCCCGUGUCUGCCUUCACAGGGCUAGGAUCAUGAGCCUUACCAUGCCCAGCCAUCUCAGGGCUUCUGGAGGCUGAACUCAGCUCUUUAUGCUUGCAAGGCAAGCACUUUCCUGUCUCAGCUAACUCUUUUUCAAAAGAUUCAUUUACUUUAUAUAUAUGACUACACUGUUGCUAUCCACUUUAGCUGUCUUCAGACACACCAGAACAGGGCAUCGGAUCUCAUUACAGAUGGUUGUGAACCACCAUGUGGUUGCUGGGAAUUGAACUCAGGACCUCGGGAAGAGUAGUCAGUGCUCUUAACCUCUGAGCCAUCUCUCCAGCCCCUCAGCCAGCUCUUAAGCUUCAUUUUUUUUCUUUUAAAAUAUGGCCAGACAUUAGGAACUGGAAUAGUGACACAAGCCUUCAUGCCAGCACUCAGGAGGCAGAGUGGAUCUCUGUGAGUUGGAGGACAGCCAGGUCUACAAAGUGAGUUGUAGUUUAGCCAAGAGACCUCCUGUCUCAACAAACAUGUUUAUGUGUGUAUAUAGGCACAUACACAUACACGUAUGUAUGUAUGUAUGUAUAUACACACACACACACAAUUAGAGUGGGAUGGGAUAUGCUGUUGUAUGCCUUUAAUCCCAGCAUCAGGAGGCAAAGGUAUGAAGAGCUCUGUGAGUUCCAGGCUAACCAGAGUUGCAUGGUAUGAGAGACGACCUCUCAAAACAAAGCAAUAAAUAGAUAAAGUAAAAUAUGUAUAUGUGUGUGUAUGUAUAUAUGUGUGUGUGUGUACAUGUGUAUGAAUGUAUUUGUGCAUAUGUGUGUGCAUGUAUACAUGUAUUUGUGAUGGUUUGUACUUGCUUGGCCCAGGAAGUGGCACUAUUAAGAGGUGUGGCCUUAUUGGAGUGGGUGUGUCACAGUGAAAAUGGGCUUAAUACCCUCACCCUAGCUGCCUAGAAGUCAGUCUUCCACUAGCAGCCUUCAGAUGAAUAUGUAGAACUCUCAGCUUCUCCUGCACCAUGCCUGCCUGGAUGCUGCCAUGUUCCUGCCUUGAUGGUAGUGAACUAAACCUCUGAAUGUGUAAGCCAGCCCCAAUUAAAUGUUGUCUUUAUGAGAGUUGCCUUGGUCAUGGUGUCUGUUCACAGCAAUGAAAACCUAACUAAGACAGUAUGUAUGUGUGCAUAAGUGUAUGUGUGUGAGUACAUACAUAUGUAUAUGCAUCUUUGUGCAUGUGUGCAUGUGCACGUGUGUGUGUUUGUAAGCUAAAGGUGUGUGUGUGUGUAUGUGUGUGUGUAAGCUAGAGGUCUGUCUCAGAUGCCCUUUGUCAGGAGUCAUCCACUUUGAUCUUUUUAAAAGAUUACUUAUUUUAUGGGUCUGAGUUUUUUCCUGCUGGUGUGCAUGUGUGCCAUGUGAGUGGCUGGA
This 1682-nucleotide long non-coding RNA is filed under the name Mus musculus (house mouse). RNAcentral describes it as "long non-coding RNA chr4:129397710-129399392". The record is from RNAcentral. Lineage: Eukaryota; Metazoa; Chordata; Mammalia; Rodentia; Muridae.